RNAcentral lists this non-coding RNA (31 nucleotides) under Homo sapiens (human). Lineage: Eukaryota; Metazoa; Chordata; Mammalia; Primates; Hominidae. The record is from RNAcentral.
UGUGAGGCAGGAAGACUGAGUCAGCCUGAAC